CAUGUAUGCAGUCAAGAGGAACUUAAUGACGCUGUUAUUGAUGAUCAAAAAAUAUUUGCUCCAUUCCUGAGAUAGGAAGCAGCAUCUUCUCCCAAGAUAGGAAACAGUGUCUUGACAGCUUUUUAAGCUAGACAAGAAGACGGUGCAAAGUAAUAUAUGCAAAAAGUGUGGAGUCAAGUGUAUUGUAAAAUGAAGUGCAUAAAUGUGAACAACGGAGUUUCGCUCUUGUUGCCCAAGCUGGACUGCAGUGGCGCGAGCCUGGCUCACUGCAAACUCUGCCUUCCGGUUUCAAGCGAUUCUCCUGCCUCAGCCUCCGGAGUAGCUGGGACUACAGGCACACACCACGCCCAGAGAAAAACAGAUCUUCAACAGUUUUUUGAUGGAAAUAAACAAUUUCAAGUUGAGACAACACAUCAGCUUCAUGCAUUCCUUCAGCUUGAAGUCAACUGGGCCUGGGUUGAAUCUGGUUCUGUUUUGUUGUUGUUUCAUUUUGUUUUUUAGCAUUUGACUAUGUACAGUCUCUAUUUCUAAGUCUUGAUUUCCUCAUUUAUAAAACAAAGCAACUAAAUGAUAUCAAAUACCCUUGUUUUGAAAAUCAAAGAAUAAGCACGGCACCCAAGACAACUUUUUGUAUCACAGGCACACAUGAAUGCUUUUUUCCUUUUCCUUUUCUUAUCAUAAAAACCUAUAUUUUAUGACUUUUACAUUUAUUCCUAGAUGCUCUCAUAUGCAUUAUCUCAUUUUUACAAUAACAUUAUAAAUAUAAACACUGUUAUGCUAUUUUACAGAUGAGAGACUUGAAGCACAGAAGGCUAAAACUACCUUUAACUUCUAAAGAAAUUUUGUGAGAAGCAUCUGAGACUCUUGACAGUUAAAAUCCCUAUCAUUUCAGAAAGUGCAACUGGGGAUCACAUGUAUUUUAAAUAAUUCUAGUUGAGAAUAGUCAAAAGUCGCAUUUAUGAAGGAAGAUUGACAUUUUUAAGCUUCCCAAUGAUUUCAUCAAGCUUAUUUAGUACUCCUAGCCUCAGUUUCUUCACUUGCAAAAUAAGAAUACCAAAAACAGGAGCUUCGUGGAUUAAUUUUAAGAAUUAAAUGGGAAAAUGUUUAUCGACAUUUUAGCACAAGCCUGCUUACAAUAAACAUUUUAAAAAG
Molecule: long non-coding RNA, 1152 nt
Organism: Homo sapiens (human)
Lineage: Eukaryota; Metazoa; Chordata; Mammalia; Primates; Hominidae
Source: Ensembl